RNAcentral lists this ribosomal RNA (429 nucleotides) under Pseudomonadota bacterium. Its description in RNAcentral is "Proteobacteria bacterium partial 16S ribosomal RNA". It matches the Rfam family "Bacterial small subunit ribosomal RNA", at positions 355 to 776 of the family's 1533-position model. Lineage: Bacteria; Pseudomonadati; Pseudomonadota. The record is from RNAcentral.
UGGGGAAUAUUGGACAAUGGGCGAAAGCCUGAUCCAGCCAUGCCGCGUGUGUGAAGAAGGUCUUCGGAUUGUAAAGCACUUUAAGUUGGGAGGAAGGGCAGUAAGCGAAUACCUUGCUGUUUUGACGUUACCGACAGAAUAAGCACCGGCUAACUCUGUGCCAGCAGCCGCGGUAAUACAGAGGGUGCAAGCGUUAAUCGGAAUUACUGGGCGUAAAGCGCGCGUAGGUGGUUCGUUAAGUUGAAUGUGAAAGCCCCGGGCUCAACCUGGGAACUGCAUCCAAAGCUGGCGAGCUAGAGUAGGGCAGAGGGUGGUGGAAUUUCCUGUGUAGCGGUGAAAGGCGUAGAUAUAGGAAGGAACACCAGUGGCGAAGGCGACCACCUGGGCUCAUACUGACACUGAGGUGCGAAAGCGUGGGGAGCAAACAGG